RNAcentral lists this ribosomal RNA (261 nucleotides) under Vibrio alginolyticus. RNAcentral's name for it is "partial 23S ribosomal RNA". It matches the Rfam family "Bacterial large subunit ribosomal RNA", at positions 1403 to 1664 of the family's 2925-position model. The record is from RNAcentral. Lineage: Bacteria; Pseudomonadati; Pseudomonadota; Gammaproteobacteria; Vibrionales; Vibrionaceae.
CGAAAGGCGUAGUCGAUGGGAAACGGGUUAAUAUUCCCGUACUUCUUACAAUUGCGAUGGGGGGACGGAGAAGGCUAGGUGGGCCUGGCGACGGUUGUCCAGGUUCAAGUGCGUAGGCUGAGAAAUUAGGUAAAUCCGGUUUCUCUUAAGGCUGAGACACGACGUCGAGCUACUACGGUAGUGAAGUCAUUGAUGCCAUGCUUCCAGGAAAAGCCUCUAAGCUUCAGAUUGUAAGGAAUCGUACCCCAAACCGACACAGGU